GUCUACACCCACACCACCCUGAGCAUACCAAAUAUCAUCUGAUCUCAGAAGCUAAGCAGGGUCGGGCCUGGUUAGCACUUGGAUGGGAGACU
RNAcentral lists this ribosomal RNA (92 nucleotides) under Octodon degus (degu). Lineage: Eukaryota; Metazoa; Chordata; Mammalia; Rodentia; Octodontidae. The record is from RNAcentral.